Molecule: ribosomal RNA, 500 nt
Filed under: uncultured bacterium
Lineage: Bacteria
Description: partial 16S ribosomal RNA
Rfam family: Bacterial small subunit ribosomal RNA
Source: RNAcentral
AUUGAACGCUGGCGGAAUGCUUUACACAUGCAAGUCGAACGGCAGCACGGACUUCGGUCUGGUGGCGAGUGGCGAACGGGUGAGUAAUGUAUCGGAACGUGCCCAGUCGUGGGGGAUAACGUAGUGAAAAUUACGCUAAUACCGCAUACGAUCUAUGGAUGAAAGCGGGGGAUCGCAAGACCUCGCGCGAUUGGAGCGGCCGAUAUCAGAUUAGGUAGUUGGUGGGGUAAAGGCCCACCAAGCCAACGAUCUGUAGCGGGUCUGAGAGGACGACCAGCCACACUGGAACUGAAACACGGUCCAGACUCCUACGGGAGGCAGCAGUGGGGAAUUUUGGACAAUGGGCGAAAGCCUGAUCCAGCCAUUCCGCGUGCAGGAUGAAGGCCCUCGGGUUGUAAACUGCUUUUGUACAGAACGAAAAGGUUUCUACUAAUACUAGGAGCUCAUGGCGGUACUGUAAGAAUAAGCACCGGCUAACUACGUGCCAGCCGCCGCGGUAA